AUUCUUCACUUCCCAUUGUCUCUGUCUCUCUCUUUCUCCUCUGCUUCCCCUCCCCCUACAACCAAAGUCAAGAGUGCAGACCCCAUGAUCACCUGAUAUCUCCAAGCAAGCAGGUGUUCUUUUCAGAAGCCAGAAGCUGAUAACCUGGGCUUUCUGAUCUAACCCCAGCCCAAAUUCUUUGCAAUGGAGGAAUUGGGGAGGAGAUUCUUCCUACUGAGAAGUGGGUGCCAACUCUCCCUUUCAAAUUUGUUCAUCAACAAACUAAAGGGGAUGCCAGAAAUGUCUGGAGCAAUGGAAGAACCACUGGAAUAAAGAGUCCUCAUUGCCUAAAUCCAUCUUGAUUGCAACUCAGUGUCCAACAUCUAAGGAGAAAUGGAUUUAACAGAGUAUGACAACAUUGGCUCAUCUUGAGUCAUUCCUCUUGUUCAAAAGGACAAACCACCACUAACUUUCCACAGAAUUAACUCUUGAGGGAUACAGUGCUCCUGCCUGAUUCCAUCUACUUAACCCACUCUCCAAGAGCUAGAAUCAGAUUUCAACCGUAUGGAAUCAUCUACAAUGCAGCAGAUGGGUUUACAAGUCUCUUGGUCUCUUCGUGUAAUUAACAGCCAAGAAGUCUAAAGCUUGCAUUGUUUACGUGGAAGAUGUUUCUUGCCCAUUCCCACGCCAUGCCAUCUGAAAUCGCUCCUUUUUUUAUUUUUUCUGUGCAGUUUUUUUAACUUUGUGGGAUCCUCUGCAUAUAAAACUCCAUUCAACUACUUCAUCCUACUGUAGAAAGCUACUUCCCUAUGAGUUUAGCUCCAUGAUUUACAAUGGUUUCUUUUCCCAUUUGCUGUCUGAAUUAUGUUUUACAAGAACCCUUUGAAAUAAGGAAGGCAUGCAUCAUCUUUCCCUUUUACAGGCAAAGAAACUGAGGCACAGAAAGGCUUAGUAGUAGGUGAUCCUGCAAGAAUUCAAAUGACUUGUCUGGUUCUAAGUUGAGUGCUCUUUUUCUGAUGCCACAUGUCUUUUCUCCAGAGAAGUAACCUACCUAGACCCAGAGGGAGCUUGAAGAGAGAUUUUCGUCUUACUGUGAGAAAACAAAGACCCAGAGAGUGGAGGGUUUGAGACCAUCCUGGUCAUUGCCAUUAUUUCUUUUCAAAGAGACAGAGGCCUCUGUAUGGAGUUGCUUCUGUGUUUGUGGUUUGAAUUUUGCUGGUGAGAUGUGAGACACAAAAGAAAUUUGAGAGAUUGUGUCUGACCUUAAGGAAUUUACUAAGAAACCAGGGAGAUAAAGCUAUCUUAUAAGAUGCUUAAAACAACUAAAGGCAACCUUAGAUUGGGAGCUACUCCCUCCAAGAUAGAAAUUUCUUAACCUUUGCUUUGAAGUCUGGUUUCUUUUUCAAGAUCCAGAAUCAUAAUCCAUGGUUAGAUUUAGGUUCAAGCCCUUCCUAACUGAUCAUGUUCUAAAUUCCUAUAGUGGUAAUCAAUGUCAUGUCAGCUCAUGUGAAGGUUUUUUUCUCCCUCUUUUUUAGUGGUGAGGAAAAGAUGUAGUAGUAUUUUUCAUGGACUUUGCAGCCUUCUUCAUGGCAAAUAACUUAUUGGAUUAGUUUUCUGUUCUUUUUAAUCGAGGAGCUCUACAUCUGACUUAGUAGAAUACUUUUUCUAAAGGAGACUUGGGUGUCUUACUUAACAGUUGCUGAAGUAACCUGUGCUUUCUCCCCUGACUCUCCCCGGGAAGAAGGAGUAGCAAUCGUGUCCCAAGUCCUUGAGGACUUCACAGGGCAUUCCAAUGUCCUGAGAAUAUACCUGCCUAAGCCCCAAUUAUCAAUCAUGGAGGGUGCCCCUGGAUGCUCCUUCUGGGCCGUGGGGUGGCAUGCGCUGCACAGGCCUGGAUUUGAGAAGCACCCCCACCAAGGCACCUCCUUCACCCUCGCCCAGGGAAGUGAUGCGGGAGCUGAGGAAGCCUGAGCUCUACACCCCUCACGAUGCAGAG
Pongo pygmaeus (Bornean orangutan) is the source of this 1975-nucleotide long non-coding RNA. RefSeq lists it as uncharacterized. The record is from RefSeq and is a predicted model, not a curated record. Lineage: Eukaryota; Metazoa; Chordata; Mammalia; Primates; Hominidae. The transcript is spliced from 5 exons.